UUAGCGGCGGACGGGUGAGUAACACGUGGGUAACCUGCCUGUAAGACUGGGAUAACUCCGGGAAACCGGAGCUAAUACCGGAUAGUUCCUUGAACCGCAUGGUUCAAGGAUGAAAGACGGUUUCGGCUGUCACUUACAGAUGGACCCGCGGCGCAUUAGCUAGUUGGUGGGGUAAUGGCUCACCAAGGCGACGAUGCGUAGCCGACCUGAGAGGGUGAUCGGCCACACUGGGACUGAGACACGGCCCAGACUCCUACGGGAGGCAGCAGUAGGGAAUCUUCCGCAAUGGACGAAAGUCUGACGGAGCAACGCCGCGUGAGUGAUGAAGGUUUUCGGAUCGUAAAGCUCUGUUGUUAGGGAAGAACAAGUGCGAGAGUAACUGCUCGCACCUUGACGGUACCUAACCAGAAAGCCACGGCUAACUACGUGCCAGCAGCCGCGGUAAUACGUAGGUGGCAAGCGUUGUCCGGAAUUAUUGGGCGUAAAGGGCUCGCAGGCGGUUUCUUAAGUCUGAUGUGAAAGCCCCCGGCUCAACCGGGGAGGGUC
This 546-nucleotide ribosomal RNA is filed under the name Bacillus safensis. Its description in RNAcentral is "bacterial SSU rRNA". It matches the Rfam family "Bacterial small subunit ribosomal RNA", at positions 92 to 624 of the family's 1533-position model. The record is from RNAcentral. Lineage: Bacteria; Bacillati; Bacillota; Bacilli; Caryophanales; Bacillaceae.